Molecule: ribosomal RNA, 1372 nt
Filed under: uncultured bacterium
Lineage: Bacteria
Description: bacterial SSU rRNA
Rfam family: Bacterial small subunit ribosomal RNA
Source: RNAcentral
GAUGAACGCUGGCGGCGUGCCUAAUACAUGCAAGUCGAGCGAACGGACGAGAAGCUUGCUUCUCUGAUGUUAGCGGCGGACGGGUGAGUAACACGUGGAUAACCUACCUAUAAGACUGGGAUAACUUCGGGAAACCGGAGCUAAUACCGGAUAAUAUUUUGAACCGCAUGGUUCAAAAGUGAAAGACGGUCUUGCUGUCACUUAUAGAUGGAUCCGCGCUGCAUUAGCUAGUUGGUAAGGUAACGGCUUACCAAGGCAACGAUGCAUAGCCGACCUGAGAGGGUGAUCGGCCACACUGGAACUGAGACACGGUCCAGACUCCUACGGGAGGCAGCAGUAGGGAAUCUUCCGCAAUGGGCGAGAGCCUGACGGAGCAACGCCGCGUGAGUGGUGAAGGUCUUCGGAUCGUAAAACUCUGUUAUUAGGGAAGAACAUAUGUGUAAGUAACUGUGCACAUCUUGACGGUACCUAAUCAGAAAGCCACGGCUAACUACGUGCCAGCAGCCGCGGUAAUACGUAGGUGGCAAGCGUUAUCCGGAAUUAUUGGGCGUAAAGCGCGCGUAGGCGGUUUUUUAAGUCUGAUGUGAAAGCCCACGGCUCAACCGUGGAGGGUCAUUGGAAACUGGAGAACUUGAGUGCAGAAGAGGAAAGUGGAAUUCCAUGUGUAGCGGUGAAAUGCGCAGAGAUAUGGAGGAACACCAGUGGCGAAGGCGACUUUCUGGUCUGUAACUGACGCUGAUGUGCGAAAGCGUGGGGAUCAAACAGGAUUAGAUACCCUGGUAGUCCACGCCGUAAACGAUGAGUGCUAAGUGUUAGGGGGUUUCCGCCCCUUAGUGCUGCAGCUAACGCAUUAAGCACUCCGCCUGGGGAGUACGACCGCAAGGUUGAAACUCAAAGGAAUUGACGGGGACCCGCACAAGCGGUGGAGCAUGUGGUUUAAUUCGAAGCAACGCGAAGAACCUUACCAAAUCUUGACAUCCUUUGACAACUCUAGAGAUAGAGCCUUCCCCUUCGGGGGACAAAGUGACAGGUGGUGCAUGGUUGUCGUCAGCUCGUGUCGUGAGAUGUUGGGUUAAGUCCCGCAACGAGCGCAACCCUUAAGCUUAGUUGCCAUCAUUAAGUUGGGCACUCUAAGUUGACUGCCGGUGACAAACCGGAGGAAGGUGGGGAUGACGUCAAAUCAUCAUGCCCCUUAUGAUUUGGGCUACACACGUGCUACAAUGGACAAUACAAAGGGCAGCGAAACCGCGAGGUCAAGCAAAUCCCAUAAAGUUGUUCUCAGUUCGGAUUGUAGUCUGCAACUCGACUACAUGAAGCUGGAAUCGCUAGUAAUCGUAGAUCAGCAUGCUACGGUGAAUACGUUCCCGGGUCU